This is a long non-coding RNA of Ictalurus punctatus (channel catfish), 494 nucleotides long. The record is from Ensembl. NCBI's taxonomy places the organism in Eukaryota, Metazoa, Chordata, Actinopteri, Siluriformes, Ictaluridae.
GUUGGGUUUAGGGGUUGGGGUUAGGUUUAGGGUUAGGUUUAGGGGUUAAGUGUUAGGGUUAGGGGUUUAGGGUUAGGUUUAGGGGUUUAGGGUUAGGUUUAGGGGUUAAGUGUUAAGGGUUAAGUUUAGGGGUUAAGUGUUAAGCUUAGGGGUUAAGUGUUAGGGUUAGGGGUUUAGGGUUAGGUUUAGGGGUUAAGUGUUAGGUUUAGGGGUUAAGUGUUAGGUUUAGGGGUUAAGUGUUAAGUUUAGGGGUUAAGAGUUAGUGUUAGACAUUCAUGCCCACAAACAACAAACCUGUAAGAAUCAAGAGACCUGUUUGCCUUCGGUUUCUAUUCGACGUGUAGCCUAAACUGUACAUGUCCCGUCACUGCACUGCGUCAGAGCACGGCUUAGCCGAUCCCUGUCCCUAGUUCUAAUCCAUAAAAAUACAUGAAUAACAUUUGAUGUCAGGUCCAUUCCUAAAUAAAAUUCUUGAUCAAUUCUGCAGACAGAUU